RNAcentral lists this ribosomal RNA (253 nucleotides) under uncultured bacterium. Its description in RNAcentral is "partial 16S ribosomal RNA". It matches the Rfam family "Bacterial small subunit ribosomal RNA", at positions 524 to 776 of the family's 1533-position model. The record is from RNAcentral.
GACGAACCGUGCGAACGUUGUUCGGAAUCACUGGGCUUAAAGGGCGCGUAGGCGGGUGUGCAAGUCUGUGGUGAAAGCCUCCAGCUUAACUGGAGAAGUGCCAUGGAUACUGCACAUCUUGAGGAGGGUAGGGGCAUCUGGAACGGUCGGUGGAGCGGUGAAAUGCGUUGAUAUCGACCGGAACUCCGGUGGCGAAGGCGAGGUGCUGGACCAUUUCUGACGCUGAGGCGCGAAAGCCAGGGGAGCAAACGGG